UGUGAACUCGAAGAGUAGGGCGGGACACGUGGUAUCCUGUCUGAAUAUGGGGGGACCAUCCUCCAAGGCUAAAUACUCCUGACUGACCGAUAGUGAACCAGUACCGUGAGGGAAAGGCGAAAAGAACCCCGGCGAGGGGAGUGAAAAAGAACCUGAAACCGUGUACGUACAAGCAGUGGGAGCCUCUUUAUGGGGUGACUGCGUACCUUUUGUAUAAUGGGUCAGCGACUUAUAUUCUGUAGCAAGGUUAACCGUAUAGGGGAGCCGAAGGGAAACCGAGUCUUAACUGGGCGUUAAGUUGCAGGGUAUAGACCCGAAACCCGGUGAUCUAGCCAUGGGCAGGUUGAAGGUUGGGUAACACUAACUGGAGGACCGAACCGACUAAUGUUGAAAAAUUAGCGGAUGACCUGUGGCUGGGGGUGAAAGGCCAAUCAAACCGGGAGAUAGCUGGUUCUCCCCGAAAGCUAUUUAGGUAGCGCCUCGUGAACUCAUCUUCGGGGGUAGAGCACUGUUUCGGCUAGGGGGCCAUCCCGGCUUACCAACCCGAUGCAAACUACGAAUACCGAAGAAUGUUAUCACGGGAGACACACGGCGGGUGCUAACGUCCGUCGUGAAGAGGGAAACAACCCAGACCGCCAGCUAAGGUCCCAAAGUCAUGGUUAAGUGGGAAACGAUGUGGGAAGGCACAGACAGCCAGGAUGUUGGCUUAGAAGCAGCCAUCAUUUAAAGAAAGCGUAAUAGCUCACUGGUCGAGUCGGCCUGCGCGGAAGAUGUAACGGGGCUAAACCAUGCACCGAAGCUGCGGCAGCGACACUAUGUGUUGUUGGGUAGGGGAGCGUUCUGUAAGCCGUUGAAGGUGUGCUGUGAGGCAUGCUGGAGGUAUCAGAAGUGCGAAUGCUGACAUAAGUAACGAUAAAGCGGGUGAAAAGCCCGCUCGCCGGAAGACCAAGGGUUCCUGUCCAACGUUAAUCGGGGCAGGGUGAGUCGACCCCUAAGGCGAGGCCGAAAGGCGUAGUCGAUGGGAAACAGGUUAAUAUUCCUGUACUUGGUGUUACUGCGAAGGGGGGACGGAGAAGGCUAUGUCAGCCGGGCGACGGUUGUCCCGGUUUAAGCAUGUAGGCGGAGGUUCCAGGUAAAUCCGGUACCUUAUUAACGCUGAGGUGUGAUGACGAGGCACUACGGUGCUGAAGUGAUAAAUGCCCUGCUUCCAGGAAAAGCCUCUAAGCAUCAGGUAACACGAAAUCGUACCCCAAACCGACACAGGUGGUCAGGUAGAGAAUACCAAGGCGCUUGAGAGAACUCGGGUGAAGGAACUAGGCAAAAUGGUGCCGUAACUUCGGGAGAAGGCACGCUGAUA
RNAcentral lists this ribosomal RNA (1357 nucleotides) under Enterobacter hormaechei. Its description in RNAcentral is "partial 23S ribosomal RNA". It matches the Rfam family "Bacterial large subunit ribosomal RNA", at positions 398 to 1756 of the family's 2925-position model. Lineage: Bacteria; Pseudomonadati; Pseudomonadota; Gammaproteobacteria; Enterobacterales; Enterobacteriaceae. The record is from RNAcentral. RNAcentral also lists the same sequence under 1 other name.